RNAcentral lists this ribosomal RNA (321 nucleotides) under uncultured bacterium. Its description in RNAcentral is "bacterial SSU rRNA". It matches the Rfam family "Bacterial small subunit ribosomal RNA", at positions 195 to 512 of the family's 1533-position model. The record is from RNAcentral.
GGGACCUUCGGGCCUUGCGCUAUCAGAUGAGCCUAGGUCGGAUUAGCUAUUUGGUGGGGUAAUGGCUCACCAAGGCGACGAUCCGUAACUGGUCUGAGAGGAUGAUCAGUCACACUGGAACUGAGACACGGUCCAGACUCCUACGGGAGGCAGCAGUGGGGAAUAUUGGACAAUGGGCGAAAGCCUGAUCCAGCCAUGCCGCGUGUGUGAAGAAGGUCUUCUGAUUGUAAAGCACUUUAAGUUGGGAGGAAGGGCAGUAAAUUAAUACUUUGCUGUUUUGACGUUACCGACAGAAUAAGCACCGGCUAACUCUGUGCCAGC